Molecule: ribosomal RNA, 253 nt
Filed under: uncultured bacterium
Lineage: Bacteria
Description: partial 16S ribosomal RNA
Rfam family: Bacterial small subunit ribosomal RNA
Source: RNAcentral
UACGUAGGGGGCUAGCGUUGUCCGGAAUCAUUGGGCGUAAAGAGCGCGUAGGCGGCCAGAUAAGUCCGGUGUGAAAGUCACAGGCUCAACCUGUGAAUGCCGCUGGAAACUGUCUGGCUAGAGUCCGGGAGGGGCGAGUGGAAUUCCUGGUGUAGCGGUGAAAUGCGCAGAUAUCAGGAGGAACACCAAUGGCGAAGGCGGUGAGCUGGGCAGUUGCUGACACUGAGGCGCGACAGCGUGGGGAGCAAACAGG